UGGUGAGUACAAAAUAAGCUUUUGUAGAGCAAGAGUUCCUGACAGUCUGUUGUCAUUUAUAACAGAUAUACUUGGUAAUUGACUCAGAGGAAGACAAUUGCAUCUGCUGAUUCAGGUGUUAACCUUUCAGGAAGUCUUCUUUCUAUAGUGUCAGCAGCAACUCCAACCUGUCAGCUCAGCAGUACUUUACAACUAUUGCAGCUCACUUGGUGUGUGAUAGGGAAGAGAGCAGCAAGAAUGAUACUCAUGCUCUUCCAGGACUGUGAAAAAUGUGAUAUGAGUGGCCAGUUGUUUCUAUAGGAACAAGAGUGCACACCUAUGCUCCAAUUGUUCCUCUGAAAGAAUACAGGUCUUCCGUAGGUCCAGCGAAGACCUUGGGCACCCUAGGGCACAUCAAAUAAUUUCAAAUACCGCUGCAGACAACAGAACCUUUUAUUUGGGAUUUGUUCCUUUUUUUCUUCAUUCCCCCCCCCCCCCGAAAAUAGUCAUGUAAAGUGUAUAAAAUAGUCAUGAAAAAGUCCUACAUGUA
RNAcentral lists this long non-coding RNA (529 nucleotides) under Phasianus colchicus (ring-necked pheasant). RNAcentral's name for it is "lncRNA (ENSPCLG00000021860.1)". Lineage: Eukaryota; Metazoa; Chordata; Aves; Galliformes; Phasianidae. The record is from RNAcentral.